This 465-nucleotide ribosomal RNA is filed under the name uncultured bacterium. RNAcentral describes it as "partial 16S ribosomal RNA". It matches the Rfam family "Bacterial small subunit ribosomal RNA", at positions 28 to 507 of the family's 1533-position model. The record is from RNAcentral.
GACGAACGCUGGCGGCGUGCUUAACACAUGCAAGUCGAACGGAAAGGCCCUGCUUGCAGGGUACUCGAGUGGCGAACGGGUGAGUAACACGUGGGUGAUCUGCCCUGCACUUCGGGAUAAGCCUGGGAAACUGGGUCUAAUACCGGAGAGGAGCCAUUUUUAGUGUGAUGGUUGGAAAGUUAUUUCGGUGUGGGAUGAGCUAGCGGCCUAUCAGCUUGUUGGUGGGGUAAUGGCCUACCAAGGCGGCGACGGGUAGCCGGCCUGGGAGGGUGGACGGCCACAUUGGGGCUGGGAGACGGCCCAGAAUCCUACGGGGGGCAGCAGUGGGGAAUAUUGCACAAUGGGCGCAAGCCUGAUGCCGCGACGCCGGGGGGGGGAGGACGGCCUUCGGGUUGGAAACUCCUUUCGCUAGGGACGAAGCUUUUUGUGACGGUACCUAGAGAAGAAGCACCGGCUAACUACGUG